GAUGAACGCUGGCGGCGUGCCUAAUACAUGCAAGUCGAGCGAACGGACGAGAAGCUUGCUUCUCUGAUGUUAGCGGCGGACGGGUGAGUAACACGUGGAUAACCUACCUAUAAGACUGGGAUAACUUCGGGAAACCGGAGCUAAUACCGGAUGAUAUUUUGAACCGCAUGGUUCAAAAGUGAAAGACGGUCUUGCUGUCACUUAUAGAUGGAUCCGCGCUGCAUUAGCUAGUUGGUAAGGUACCGGCUUACCAAGGCAACGAUGCAUAGCCGACCUGAGAGGGUGAUCGGCCACACUGGAACUGAGACACGGUCCAGACUCCUACGGGAGGCAGCAGUAGGGAAUCUUCCGCAAUGGGCGAAAGCCUGACGGAGCAACGCCGCGUGAGUGAUGAAGGUCUUCGGAUCGUAAAACUCUGUUAUUAGGGAAGAACAUAUGUGUAAGUAACUGUGCACAUCUUGACGGUACCUAAUCAGAAAGCCACGGCUAACUACGUG
RNAcentral lists this ribosomal RNA (497 nucleotides) under uncultured bacterium. Its description in RNAcentral is "partial 16S ribosomal RNA". It matches the Rfam family "Bacterial small subunit ribosomal RNA", at positions 28 to 507 of the family's 1533-position model. The record is from RNAcentral.